Non-coding RNA from Cadophora gregata, 94 nucleotides. The record is from the annotation of a RefSeq genome assembly. Lineage: Eukaryota; Fungi; Ascomycota; Leotiomycetes; Helotiales; Ploettnerulaceae.
GGGCAUAUGGUUUAGUGGUAUAAUAUUCCCUUAGCAUGCAGCACGCCUGUUUCUAGUUUGGGAAUGGUCCUGGGUUCGAUUCCCAGUUUGUCCA